Non-coding RNA from Mycena alexandri, 95 nucleotides. The record is from the annotation of a GenBank genome assembly. Lineage: Eukaryota; Fungi; Basidiomycota; Agaricomycetes; Agaricales; Mycenaceae.
GCUUCCGUAGCUCAACGGUUAGAGCGCCUCGAUAUCUUAGAGAUAGUGCUCCCACAUUUACCGCGGAGACGUGGGUUCGACUCCCACUGGGCGCA